GACGAACGCUGGCGGCGGGCUUAACACAUGCAAGUCGAACGGAAAGGCACUGCUUUUGUGGGGUUCUCGAGUGGCGAACGGGUGAGUAACAGGUGAGUAACCUGCCCUUGACUUUGGGAGAACUUCAGGAAACUGGGGCUAAGACCGGAUAGGAGCUCCUCCUGGAGGGUGGGGGGGGGAAAUUUUAGGCGGGUGGGGAUGGACGCGCGGCUUAUCAGCUUGUUGGUUGGGUAGUGGCUUACCAAGGAUUUGACGGGUAGCCGGCCUGAGAGGGUGAACGGCGACCUUGCGACUGAGAUACGGCGCAGACUGCAACGGGAGGCAGCAGUGGCGAACAUUGCACAGUGGGAGGAAGCCUGAUGAAGCAACGCUGCGUGCGUGAUGACGGCCUUCUGGUUGUAAAACGCAUUCGCCUGAGACGCCGCGUGAGUGACGGUAAUGAGUAAAGAAGCACCGGCUAACUACGUG
RNAcentral lists this ribosomal RNA (468 nucleotides) under uncultured bacterium. Its description in RNAcentral is "partial 16S ribosomal RNA". It matches the Rfam family "Bacterial small subunit ribosomal RNA", at positions 28 to 507 of the family's 1533-position model. The record is from RNAcentral.